GUGCCAGCAGCCGCGGUAAUACGUAGGGUGCAAGCGUUAAUCGGAAUUACUGGGCGUAAAGCGUGCGCAGGCGGUUCGGAAAGAAGGAUGUGAAAUCCCAGGGCUCAACCUUGGAACUGCAUUCUUAACUACCGAACUAGAGUAUGUCAGAGGGGGGUAGAAUUCCGCGUGUAGCAGUGAAAUGCGUAGAUAUGCGGAGGAAUACCGAUGGCGAAGGCAGCCCCCUGGGAUAAUACUGACGCUCAUGCACGAAAGCGUGGGUAGCAAACAGGAUUAGAUACCCUGGUAGUCCACGCCCUAAACGAUGUCAACUAGCUGUUGGGCCCUUCGGGGCUUAGUAGCGUAGCUAACGCGUGAAGUUGACCGCCUGGGGAGUACGGUCGCAAGAUUAAAACUCAAAGGAAUUGACGGGGACCCGCACAAGCGGUGGAUGAUGUGGAUUAAUUCGAUGCAACGCGAAAAACCUUACCUACCCUUGACAUGUCUGGAAUCCUUUAGAGAUAGAGGAGUGCUCGCAAGAGAACCGGAACACAGGUGCUGCAUGGCUGUCGUCAGCUCGUGUCGUGAGAUGUUGGGUUAAGUCCCGCAACGAGCGCAACCCUUGUCAUUAGUUGCCAGCAUUCAGUUGGGCACUCUAAUGAGACUGCCGGUGACAAACCGGAGGAAGGUGGGGAUGACGUCAAGUCCUCAUGGCCCUUAUGGGUAGGGCUUCACACGUCAUACAAUGGUCGGGACAGAGGGUUGCCAAACCGCGAGGUGGAGCCAAUCUCAGAAACCCGAUCGUAGUCCGGAUUGCAGGCUGCAACUCGCCUGCAUGAAGUCGGAAUCGCUAGUAAUCGCGGAUCAGCAUGUCGCGGUGAAUACGUUCCCGGGUCUUGUACACACCGCCCGUCACACCAUGGGAGUGGGUUUUACCAGAAGUAGUUAGCCUAACCGCAAGGGGGGCGAUUACCACGGUAGGAUUCAUGACUGGGGUGAAGUCGUAACAAGGUAACC
Molecule: ribosomal RNA, 996 nt
Filed under: uncultured Advenella sp.
Lineage: Bacteria; Pseudomonadati; Pseudomonadota; Betaproteobacteria; Burkholderiales; Alcaligenaceae
Description: bacterial SSU rRNA
Rfam family: Bacterial small subunit ribosomal RNA
Source: RNAcentral